This 24-nucleotide non-coding RNA is filed under the name Arabidopsis thaliana (thale cress). The record is from RNAcentral. Lineage: Eukaryota; Viridiplantae; Streptophyta; Magnoliopsida; Brassicales; Brassicaceae.
UUGAUGUGUACUGCUCGCCCAUGA